Ctenopharyngodon idella (grass carp) is the source of this 4253-nucleotide RNA transcript. It is a transcript of the gene named integrin alpha-X-like, with no coding region annotated. The transcript has 30 exons. NCBI's taxonomy places the organism in Eukaryota, Metazoa, Chordata, Actinopteri, Cypriniformes, Xenocyprididae. The record is from RefSeq and is a predicted model, not a curated record.
GUUUUUAGUACAUUAAUGGAUCUUGAGAGAGGAAAUGUCAUUGCUGGCUAUGCACUCCUCACUGAGCCAUCGGAUUUCAACAAAAAUAUCUUAAUUUGUGUUCUGAAGAUUAACGAAGGUCUUACGGGUGUGGAACGGCAUGAGGCAUCUCAGUCGGUGAUGGCUUUUAACAUUGAUCCUGUUACCUGGAAAACUUUCACUGCGUCUUCACAGAGUCAAAAUGUUGCCUUUGGCUAUAAGGUGAUACAGAAAGAUGAAUUGAGUCUAUUUGUGAGUGAUCCUUUAAUACAACUCAGUCAAACUCUGAGAGGACAAAUAUAUCGCUGUGCUGUCACUGAAGGAAACUGCAUGCCACUGCCCAUUACCGUCACCAAUGAGGCUGUCAACAUGUCCCUUGGACUUUCAAUGUCUAUUGAUCCUCAGUCUUCAAGAGCAGUGGUUUGUGGUCCAACCAUACCUAAGAACUGUGAUGAAAUAACCACUUACAAUGGCAUGUGCUUUAAAAUCAGUCCAGAUAAUGUUGUGAGCAGAUCUGUGCCAGAGACUCUGAGAGCUUCAGAAUGCCCAACAUCACAAAUUGAUAUUGCUUUUUUACUGGAUGGAUCUGGAAGUGUAAAACCUCUGGAGUUUAUUAAGAUGAAGGAUUUUGUUAUAGAAAUGAUCAAAAGUUGUAUAGACCGUGAUACACAGUUUGCCAUUGCACAGUUUUCUACACAAUCUGUCAUUCAUUACAAGUUUCAACAAGUAAAAAAUGCCAUGUGGUGGCAAGAUGCAGUGAAUCAGAUAUCUCAACAGAGAGGAUGGACCUACACCGCAAGAGCUAUAGGACAACUUGUUAAAGAGUUAUUCGAAAGUAACGGAGGUGCAAGACCAUCAGCCAGUAAAAUUUUGGUUGUUAUCACGGAUGGUGAAUCAACUGAUCCAGAUGAUUUGACUGCAGCUGUUCAACAAGCACAAGCUAAAAAUAUAACACGAUAUGCUAUUGGGGUUGGCAAUGCUUUUAAUAGUGACAGAGCAAGAAGGGAGCUGGAAAUUAUUGCAUCUUCACCCUCCAAUAAUCAUGUGUUCCAAGUAACUGAUUUUGAUGCGCUGGAAAGCAUUCGUGAAAAACUCAAAGAGAACAUUAUUGCCAUUGAAGGAACCCAGACCUCUGGAGAUUCAUCUCGAAUGGAGUUUGCACAGGACGGGUUUAGUGCAGCAUUUACAUCAAAUACAGAUAUGAUAAUGACUGCAGUGGGAGCUUUCCAGUGGAAGGGUGGAUAUCAAUUGUACAAACCAAAUGAUACGUCAGUUGACUUUCAAGCUGGAAGUGGGCAUGACAGUUAUUUAGGUUAUUCUUUGGCAAUAGCAACAACGUACAGAGGAAAGUAUGCAGUAAUGGGAGCACCAAGAAACGAGCAUAAGGGACAAGUAACUGUUUCAAGAAUUGAUGGAAAGGACUUAAAGCAGCUGGAUCCUCCUAAGCCUCAGAUUGGCUCAUAUUUUGGAGCUGAGGUGUGUGUGGUGGAUUUGAACCGUGACUCCAAUACAGACCUACUUUUGGUAUCGGCACCAACAUACAUGGAGUCUGACCGGGAGGGCAUAGUGUUUGUUUACAUCUUCACACAUCGGGCAAACAUCAUUUUUUCGGAUACACUGGUGGGCAUGGCAGGUCAGAGGGGUCGGUUUGGCUCUUCUCUGGCCAGUCCAGCAGAUCUGAAUGGUGAUGGUUUCAUGGAUGUGCUGAUUGGAGCUCCUUUAGAGGAUGAUGGACAGGGCAGCAUCUACAUCUUCAAUGGGAGAGAUGGAGUUAUCACUUCAAAAUUCUCACAGAGGAUUGUUGGAUCAUCUGUGCGACCAGGUUUGCGGUUCUUUGGGAUUUCAUUGAGUCAGUCUUCUCUAGACCAGAGUCAAGACAACCUUCCUGACAUUGCUGUUGGGUCCAAGGGAGCAGUUCUGCUUCUCAGGUCCAGACCCAUCAUGCUCUUGGAAACCAAAGUAACUUACAACCCAACCAAGAUACCAACCGGUGAAACAGACCAGUCACUGGAAAACACCAUGAAAGUGUGUUUCACCAUGCGUCCAUACGGACACCGCAUAAGAGACCUAUCCGCAAAUAUUAAUUACACCAUAAUGCUGGAUGCCAAGCGACAGAAAUAUCGAGCAAACUUCCCACCCAAAAACCGGCUUCUCAGUGAUGUGCUGAACAUUGGAUUGAAUGCAGAAACUUGCAGAAGUCAUCAUUUCUUUAUAGACGCUUUCUCAGAAGAUGCUCUAAACCCAGUGUCCACUCAGUUAACAUUCACUUUUGAGGGUCUACCAUCUAGAACAAUGCAAAACAUAAAGCCAAUACUGCUGCCAGAGAUAAAGACCACCACAGACUACAAUCUGGAUUUUGAGAUAAACUGUGGACAUGAUGAUAUUUGUGUUGAUGACCUCAGGAUGGAUUUCAAUUUCUCUGGGGCUACAAACAUAGAGGUUGGGUUAAUGCAGGAGAUCAAUGUGACAGUGUUUGUAGAGAACAGAGGAGGAAACUCAUACAACACUCUCUUCACCCUCAAAUACCCCUUUGGACUUUCCUACAGGAGAAUCACAUCUAAACAGGGCAGAGUGGAGUGUGUAUCUCUGGACAGUGAGCAAAGAGGUUCAUUUGGAGAAACCACCUGCCACAUCAGUAAACCCAUCCUCAAGGGCAACGCUCAGGAUGUGUUUUAUAUUACAUACAGCAUCGAUAAGGAAAGCACCUUCGAUCAAAAUGUGAAUUUCACCGCUCAGAUCAACAGUGGGAAUGACCAACACUCUCAAACCAGUGAAUUAUUCAGGUGGAAGAGCAUUGGUGUCAAAUAUGCCAUUAACAUUGCCUUAAUAAGACAUGAAGAUUCAAGCCUGCACAUUAAUUUUACUGCACAGAAAAAUGAUUCUGAUAAACCAGUCAAACAGAUCCUAAAGGUUGAAAAUGACUUUAGAGAAUUAACAUUCAAAGUUUCCAUCAGAGUACCAGUGAUUCUGGGAGAUAAAUUCAUCUGGACUGACAAAAACCUACAGAUCCCAGAGUGUGAAACAGAGGGAUGAGCGGCCGCUUGUAACAGAUUUUGUGGAAGUAAUUAAAAAGGAUCGUGUGGUGAACUGCUCUGUGGCGGUGUGUGCCGUGUUCAGCUGUGACGGCACUCUCAUAAAGAAUAAAAGGAAACUCUAUAAUAUAUCUGGCAACGUGAGCUCUGGAUGGAUAGAGCAGACUGGACUCAGAGCUGCUGUGUUUCAGUUGGUCAGUUCAGCGUCUCUGGAUUAUGACGAGAGCAAAUACGUUUUCUUUUCCUCUGAUCCUCAACACACUGCACCGUCUCUCCAGAUUAACACUCAAGUGGAGGUGUAUGAGGAGGCGAACCUGACCAAAGAGAUCCUUGGAGGGGUGAUAGGAGGACUGGCUGUCCUCACAGCGGCCUUCUAUAAGGCUGGGUUCUUCAAAAGCCAGUACAAGCAGAUACUGCUGGAGGUGCAGCGGGAUGCAGGAGGAGAGCCAAACAUGACACAAUAAUGUGCACUCAAAUAUCUCAUAAGAUAUAUGUACUGAUUGUGUUUUGUGGGCUUGAGAAUGAAACGUGAAUAUAUUUAACACCUCAGUGUAGCAAAAUAUUUCAGCCUAAUUUAGAACACUUUAUGAAUGUUCAAUGAUAACACAAUGAUAAUCAGACAAACUUAAGAAUGACAAAACUGAACAUAACUCUGACACAUAUCUCUUCUAAUGACUGAGUAUAAACUCUUUUCCUCACAUGCACACGGUUUUUGAGAUUUUUUUUUUUAUUACUAGGUUUCUUCAGAUUUACUCUGGGUGUAUUUUGAAAAUGUUUUAUUGCUUAAUAUAAAGAUAUUGUUUAUUUUGCUUAGCAGAUAUUGUUGCGUUAUAUAUAUACAUUAUGGCACUUAUUGUCAAGGAAAGCAACAAAAAAAUAAAAAUAAAAUAAUUUUGUCAUUAUCCAUUAUACUUAUUUUUGUCCCAUUAUUUGGUUACACUUUUUUUUAAUGUGUCCCUAUUACUGUGUAAUUAUACAUAUAAGUACUGAGUAAUAUUAAUUAAGUACAUGUACUUAAUUUAGGGUUAGGGUAGGAUUAGGGUUUGGUUUAGGGUUAGUUUCAUGUAAUUAUGCCUAAUAUAUGGUUAUUACUAUAGUAAAUACAAGUAACGUGUAACAAGGAUACAUUAAAUAAAGUGUUACCAAUAAUUAUUAUGCAUAACUUAAUUUGUGUAUGGAAUAAACAUUUGAGUAUGAAAGUAA